This is a long non-coding RNA of Salvelinus fontinalis (brook trout), 1036 nucleotides long. RefSeq lists it as uncharacterized. Lineage: Eukaryota; Metazoa; Chordata; Actinopteri; Salmoniformes; Salmonidae. The transcript is spliced from 3 exons. The record is from RefSeq and is a predicted model, not a curated record.
AUUAGCUGUAGUAGUCUUUGAAAAGAAGCUGUUUGGAAAUGAUGUGAGUGUUAAUUGGGCUGAGGACGUGCUCACUUUUUCUGUCUUCUGGGGACUGCCUAUGUAGUACCAAAACCCCGGGUCUAGCCAAUCAGCAUGAUACAGUUGCUCCGUUUUCCUGUCAGAACAGCUUGUUCUAACACAACACACCUCUCAAGGGGUCAGCGCUUUCAUUUGCUUUGUAGGUAUUUUAUUUGGGACUUUUUUCUCUUGAGACAUUUUCAAAUUUGGCACGCACUUCAGAGUCAAAUAGGACUACCGAAUUCAAAAGAAAAAUGUAAAUAGCAAAGUGGGAUUUUAAAAAUGUAACGUUAAUUCUCAUUACAAAAUGAACAUCGUUGGAGAAUAAUCCUUGGCACUUAAAGCAGGGAAUGUGCUAAUAUUUCCACAAGACUAAAUACGUCAAGCAUGACUGGAGGGAUCCGGGAAGUAGGCCGCCCGCGGAGGGAAGGGAAGUCGACGUGAGAAGAUCACUGUGUAGGUGUGAAGGGAGACUGGGGCAUCUGACGCAGGCAAGAGAGGAUGGGCUGUGUGUGUAUUGACCUGCUCAAAGGGUUCCAGGACUCUGCACACCUCCUCCACCACCUCCCAUUCCUCAUGGGUCAGAGCACCAACAGAUUCAUCUAUGGAGCCAGCACUUGGAGACUUGCAAGAGGAUGUAAUGGAGUCCUGACUGACAGACAGGCUUGAUACUGAUAUCUCUGAAUGGAGAGAGACCUGGCACUUAGCAUAAACAUUUUACUACACAGAACUUUCACUUGUGUUGUCUUUUUUAAAUGAUUGAAUGAAUGGUAUCAGUCAAUACGGGGUGGGAGAAACCCUGUGUAUUCUGCACCAGUAUCAGGGAACUCCUGAUGUAUACGGGACACCACACAUGACAGUUUGACCACUCAGACAUGUUUGCCAAGGUAGCCCCGUUACGAUCAGACAAAAUGCAGAUAGGCAUCAGUAUCGGUAUCAACCGGGAAUGACAAUGAAAGGUGAAAGGCAGACAUUG